This 278-nucleotide long non-coding RNA is filed under the name Fukomys damarensis (Damara mole-rat). Its description in RNAcentral is "lncRNA (ENSFDAG00000022556.1)". The record is from RNAcentral. Lineage: Eukaryota; Metazoa; Chordata; Mammalia; Rodentia; Bathyergidae.
UGGAAUUCUGCUGCGCUGAUUAGGAAAGUUCAUUUCCAGGUUGCGGUUUGCAGUUGACAGAGCCCUGCUUACCCCUCGCUCUAUCAAUCCAAGGAAUCCUCAAAAAUCAAAAUCACCACAGCCAUUCAUCCAGAGGUGCUGGGACCCACAAGGUCUCUCCAGAACUUCCAAGUCAAGAGAGAAGGGGAAGCAAGAAAUGCCACCUGGAGGUCACCCCGUGCCAUGGGAACAAAUGUCCCUCCUGAUCUGGGCUCGUGGAAGGGACCAGGACAACUUUC